GGAGAGGUGGAUGAGCGGUUUAAGUCACACGCCUGGAAAGCGUGCAAGGGUGCAAGCCCUUCACGGGUUCGAAUCCCGUCCUCUCCGCCA
Molecule: transfer RNA, 90 nt
Filed under: Burkholderiaceae bacterium
Lineage: Bacteria; Pseudomonadati; Pseudomonadota; Betaproteobacteria; Burkholderiales; Burkholderiaceae
Description: tRNA-Ser
Rfam family: tRNA
About the family: Transfer RNA (tRNA) molecules are approximately 80 nucleotides in length. Their secondary structure includes four short double-helical elements and three loops (D, anti-codon, and T loops). Further hydrogen bonds mediate the characteristic L-shaped molecular structure. tRNAs have two regions of fundamental functional importance: the anti-codon, which is responsible for specific mRNA codon recognition, and the 3' end, to which the tRNAs corresponding amino acid is attached (by aminoacyl-tRNA synthetases). tRNAs cope with the degeneracy of the genetic code in two manners: having more than one tRNA (with a specific anti-codon) for a particular amino acid; and 'wobble' base-pairing, i.e. permitting non-standard base-pairing at the 3rd anti-codon position.
Source: RNAcentral